This 71-nucleotide transfer RNA is filed under the name Caldibacillus debilis GB1. It matches the Rfam family "tRNA". From Rfam's summary of the family: Transfer RNA (tRNA) molecules are approximately 80 nucleotides in length. Their secondary structure includes four short double-helical elements and three loops (D, anti-codon, and T loops). Further hydrogen bonds mediate the characteristic L-shaped molecular structure. tRNAs have two regions of fundamental functional importance: the anti-codon, which is responsible for specific mRNA codon recognition, and the 3' end, to which the tRNAs corresponding amino acid is attached (by aminoacyl-tRNA synthetases). tRNAs cope with the degeneracy of the genetic code in two manners: having more than one tRNA (with a specific anti-codon) for a particular amino acid; and 'wobble' base-pairing, i.e. permitting non-standard base-pairing at the 3rd anti-codon position. The record is from Rfam by way of RNAcentral. Lineage: Bacteria; Bacillati; Bacillota; Bacilli; Caryophanales; Bacillaceae.
GCGGACGUAGUUUAAUGGUAAAAUGUUGGCUUGCCAGGCCAAAGACAAGGGUUCGACUCCCUUCGUCCGCA